CACUACAGCGCUUCAGAAAAGAGUCCAGUGUUUUCUGCUUUGCAGGGCUGCUUCUCUCCUGGCUGGCUGAAACUUCUAGGGUAUUCUCAUGGCCAUCAAGCAUCUGUCCCAAGUUUUCCAACUUGCUCUGAACAACAUCCCAUAUAAUGUCAUCAACAGUGUCAUUUGCUAGCAGGUAAUAAAUAUUGACCGAAGAAACCUGGCCAAUCCUGUGAGCCCUAUC
RNAcentral lists this unclassified non-coding RNA (223 nucleotides) under Hevea brasiliensis (rubber tree). Lineage: Eukaryota; Viridiplantae; Streptophyta; Magnoliopsida; Malpighiales; Euphorbiaceae. The record is from RNAcentral.